AAGAUUUUAAGUUAAUAUAAACUAAUAGCCUUCAAAGCUGGAAAUAAAGCCACUUUAAGUCUUA
This 64-nucleotide transfer RNA is filed under the name Gryllotalpa orientalis (oriental mole cricket). Its description in RNAcentral is "tRNA-Trp". The record is from RNAcentral. Lineage: Eukaryota; Metazoa; Arthropoda; Insecta; Orthoptera; Gryllotalpidae.